GGGCUUUUUAAGCAGUGGACUCGUGCUCGUUCUAGGACCUUUGCAUACCAAACUUGUGUUGCUUUGGCCGGCCUCCGGGCCGGCCGGAGGUGUUCAACCCUUGAAUUAGUGAUGUCUGAGUAUUAUUGUAAUAGUUAAAACUUUCAACAACGGAUCUCUUGGUUCUGGCAUCGAUGAAGAACGCAGCGAAAUGCGAUAAGUAAUGUGAAUUGCAGAAUUCAGUGAAUCAUCGAAUCUUUGAACGCACAUUGCGCCCUCUGGUAUUCCGGGGGGCAUGCCUGUUCGAGCGUCAUUACAACCCUCAAGCCUGGCUUGGUGUUGGGCUCGCCCUGUCAGGGUCUGCCUCGAAAUCAGUGGCGGCCCCGUCCGAUCUCAAGCGUAGUAAUGCUAUCCGCUUGUUGGUCUGGAUGGAAGCUUGCCAGCAACCCCCAACCUCACAUUGUUGACCUCGGAUCAGGUAGGGAUACCCGCUGAACUUAAGCAUAUCAAUAAGCGGAGGC
This 500-nucleotide ribosomal RNA is filed under the name Hypoderma minteri. Its description in RNAcentral is "eukaryotic LSU rRNA". The stretch from base 139 to 292 matches the Rfam family "5.8S ribosomal RNA". Lineage: Eukaryota; Fungi; Ascomycota; Leotiomycetes; Rhytismatales; Rhytismataceae. The record is from RNAcentral.